This 301-nucleotide ribosomal RNA is filed under the name uncultured bacterium. RNAcentral's name for it is "partial 16S ribosomal RNA". It matches the Rfam family "Bacterial small subunit ribosomal RNA", at positions 509 to 807 of the family's 1533-position model. The record is from RNAcentral.
CAGCAGCCACGGUAAAACGUAGGGUGCAAGCGUUAAUCGGAAUUACUGGGCGUAAAGCGUGCGCAGGCGGUUAUAUAAGACAGAUGUGAAAUCCCCGGGCUCAACCUGGGAACUGCAUUUGUGACUGUAUAGCUAGAGUACGGCAGAGGGGGAUGGAAUUCCGCGUGUAGCAGUGAAAUGCGUAGAUAUGCGGAGGAACACCGAUGGCGAAGGCAAUCCCCUGGGCCUGUACUGACGCUCAUGCACGAAAGCGUGGGGAGCAAACAGGAUUAGAGACCCGUGUAGUCCCUGUCUCUUAUAC